CUUGAUGGACCCGAGCCACAGUGGACGGUCCUCGGGCCGGCCCUGACCGUAGGUGGCCAGAAGUGCCUGAGCCUC
This 75-nucleotide antisense RNA is filed under the name Kutzneria sp. 744. RNAcentral's name for it is "ASpks TB sRNA". It matches the Rfam family "ASpks TB sRNA". Lineage: Bacteria; Bacillati; Actinomycetota; Actinomycetes; Pseudonocardiales; Pseudonocardiaceae. The record is from Rfam by way of RNAcentral.